This 152-nucleotide unclassified non-coding RNA is filed under the name soil metagenome. RNAcentral's name for it is "partial internal transcribed spacer 1". The record is from RNAcentral.
GUGAUUAAAUCGAGCGUGUCUUCAUUGACCGCUCACCCUUCUCACCAUCCACAUACACCUGUGCACUGUUUAGCCUGAGCCGGUUUUCCGGUCCAGGUUAUCAUUCCAUACAAACUCUAGUCUUAUGAAUGUAAACGUUUAAUAACAUAAUA